CCUACGGGCGGCAGCAGUGGGGAAUAUUGGACAAUGGGGGAAACCCUGAUCCAGCGACGCCGCGUGAGUGAAGAAGUAUUUCGGUACGUAAAGCUCUAUCAGCAGGAAAGAAAAUGACGGUACCUGACUAAGAAGCCCCGGCUAACUACGUGCCAGCAGCCGCGGUAAUACGUAGGGGGCAAGCGUUAUACGGAUUUACGGGGUGUAAAGGGAGCGUAGACGGCAGCGCAAGUAUGGCUUGAAAUGCCCGGGCCCAACCCCGGAACUGCUCUGGAAACUGUGAAGCUGGAGUGCAGGAGAGGGAAGCCGAAUUCCUGGUGUAGCGGUGAACUGCGUAGAUAUCAGGAGGAACACCGGCGGCGAAGGCGGCUUACUGGACUGUAACUGACGUUGAGGCUCGAAGGCGUGGGGAGCAAACAGGAUUAGAUACCCGAGUAGUC
RNAcentral lists this ribosomal RNA (440 nucleotides) under uncultured bacterium. RNAcentral describes it as "partial 16S ribosomal RNA". It matches the Rfam family "Bacterial small subunit ribosomal RNA", at positions 338 to 795 of the family's 1533-position model. The record is from RNAcentral.